RNAcentral lists this ribosomal RNA (461 nucleotides) under uncultured bacterium. RNAcentral's name for it is "partial 16S ribosomal RNA". It matches the Rfam family "Bacterial small subunit ribosomal RNA", at positions 338 to 795 of the family's 1533-position model. The record is from RNAcentral.
CCUACGGGUGGCAGCAGUGAGGAAUAUUGGUCAAUGGGCGCGAGCCUGAACCAGCCAAGUCGCGUGAGGGAUGACGGUCCUACGGAUUGUAAACCUCUUUUGCCGGGGAGCAAGCGUGCGUUCGUGAACGCGCGUCGAGAGUACCCGGAGAAAAAGCAUCGGCUAACUCCGUGCCAGCAGCCGCGGUAAUACGGAGGGGGCAAGCGUUAUCCGGAUUUACUGGGUGUAAAGGGGGCGCAGACGGCAAUGCAAGCCAGGAGUGAAAGCCCGGGGCCCAACCCCGGGACUGCUCUUGGAACUGCAUGGCUGGAGUACAGGAGGGGCAGGCGGAAUUCCUAGUGUAGCGGUGAAAUGCGUAGAUAUUAGGAGGAACACCGGUGGCGAAGGCGGCCUGCUGGACUGUGACUGACGUUGAGGCCCGAAGGCGUGGGGAGCAAACAGGAUUAGAUACCCCUGUAGUC